AUUUUUAAAAUCCUCCCACCAACCUGCCAAAUCACAGGAUGGAGUUACUCAGUGUCUCCUUUCCAUUGAAUGUUUUGCCACAUGCAAACUUUCCUCUUCUGUCUCAGUGUACUGUGUUUUGCUAGGCUUACUUGCAAAGGUUAAAAGAAUGGAGUGUACUGGAGUCAGGAAGGCUCAGUGUCUGUUGGAGGUGAAGUCACCAGCAUUGCAUUUCUCCACCAGUCACAACUGAUAAGUUCAAAACCACAUCAGGCAGGCAACUACUAAGAACAGAAAGUACCAUCUCUGCCAUGAUAAAUCACCCCCAGGAAAACCAGCUUAUCCCAGCUCAGGGUGGCCACAAAACCAACAUUCCAAAAUCAGAACAGCAGAACUGGCAUCAGCCUGUUUCAGCUGCUUCCCCCAAUGCUUGAAGGGAAGCAAGCUGCACUGAAUGCCUGCUUGAAGGAUGGGCAGAGGUGAGGGUCAGCACCAACUAGCCAUGGAAAUGAAAAAUGCCAACCUGAGAGGUUAGGAAGGAACCAGACCUGGGCCUCACACCACUAAAGGCAGGUUUCCAGAGGUGCAAGCCACAGAGACCUGGUACACUCUGCUGAUUCAGUGCAAGUGGAGCCUAAUCCUGAG
Long non-coding RNA from Melospiza melodia melodia, 624 nucleotides. RefSeq lists it as uncharacterized. The record is from RefSeq and is a predicted model, not a curated record. Lineage: Eukaryota; Metazoa; Chordata; Aves; Passeriformes; Passerellidae. The transcript has 5 exons.